Molecule: ribosomal RNA, 325 nt
Filed under: uncultured eukaryote
Lineage: Eukaryota
Description: partial 18S ribosomal RNA
Rfam family: Eukaryotic small subunit ribosomal RNA
Source: RNAcentral
CCCUUAGAUGUUCUGGGCCGCACGCGCGCUACACUGAUGCAUUCAACGAGUUUUUCCUUGGCCGAGAGGCCUGGGCAAUCUUUUAAACGUGCAUCGUGAUAGGGAUAGAUUAUUGCAAUUAUUAAUCUUGAACGAGGAAUUCCUAGUAAACGCAGAUCAUCAAUCUGCAUUGAUUACGUCCCUGCCCUUUGUACACACCGCCCGUCGCACCUACCGAUUGAAUGGUCCGGUGAAGCCUCGGGGUUGUGGCGAGUUCCCUUUAUUGGGAGUUUGUCGCGAGAACUUGUCUAAACCUUAUCAUUUAGAGGAAGGUGAAGUCGUAACA